This 460-nucleotide ribosomal RNA is filed under the name Bacillus sp. (in: firmicutes). Its description in RNAcentral is "bacterial SSU rRNA". It matches the Rfam family "Bacterial small subunit ribosomal RNA", at positions 99 to 544 of the family's 1533-position model. Lineage: Bacteria; Bacillati; Bacillota; Bacilli; Caryophanales; Bacillaceae. The record is from RNAcentral.
CGGACGGGUGAGUAACACGUGGGUAACCUGCCCAUAAGACUGGGAUAACUCCGGGAAACCGGGGCUAAUACCGGAUAACAUUUUGAACCGCAUGGUUCGAAAUUGAAAGGCGGCUUCGGCUGUCACUUAUGGAUGGACCCGCGUCGCAUUAGCUAGUUGGUGAGGUAACGGCUCACCAAGGCAACGAUGCGUAGCCGACCUGAGAGGGUGAUCGGCCACACUGGGACUGAGACACGGCCCAGACUCCUACGGGAGGCAGCAGUAGGGAAUCUUCCGCAAUGGACGAAAGUCUGACGGAGCAACGCCGCGUGAGUGAUGAAGGCUUUCGGGUCGUAAAACUCUGUUGUUAGGGAAGAACAAGUGCUAGUUGAAUAAGCUGGCACCUUGACGGUACCUAACCAGAAAGCCACGGCUAACUACGUGCCAGCAGCCGCGGUAAUACGUAGGUGGCAAGCGUUAU